Molecule: ribosomal RNA, 253 nt
Filed under: uncultured bacterium
Lineage: Bacteria
Description: partial 16S ribosomal RNA
Rfam family: Bacterial small subunit ribosomal RNA
Source: RNAcentral
UCCGGAGGGUGCAAGCGUUAUCCGGAAUCACUGGGUUUAAAGGGUGCGUAGGCUGCUGUAUAAGUCAGGGGUGAAAGUUUGUCGCUUAACGAUAGAAUUGCCUUUGAUACUGUGCGGCUUGAAAGUAGGUGAGGUUGGCGGAAUGUGACAUGUAGCGGUGAAAUGCGUAGAUAUGUCAUAGAACACCGAUUGCGAAGGCAGCUGGCUAACCUAAAUUUGACGCUGAGGCACGAAAGCGUGGGUAGAAAACAGG